This 255-nucleotide unclassified non-coding RNA is filed under the name Hevea brasiliensis (rubber tree). The record is from RNAcentral. Lineage: Eukaryota; Viridiplantae; Streptophyta; Magnoliopsida; Malpighiales; Euphorbiaceae.
GACAGACUUCAAGCCAAUGUCAUUUGAUGUCAAAUUCCAUAAUGUCCAAGGAAAGAACUAUCGAUGCGCCAUACCAAAAUUGAACAACAAGAUUGUACCAGAGCAAUGUAAAGUGUUAGUUAAACCUAUCAGGGUCAUCAUCACUUUGUUUAAAGCUUCAAAGGGAAACUGGUUAGACUUGCACUUUAAAGAGGACAAGGUAUGGACUCCGUAAAUGGUUCUGGUUCAUUGAUAAUUUUCUUAUUAAAGUUGACU